RNAcentral lists this long non-coding RNA (266 nucleotides) under Amborella trichopoda. Its description in RNAcentral is "long non-coding RNA (ATRI_LNC002068)". Lineage: Eukaryota; Viridiplantae; Streptophyta; Magnoliopsida; Amborellales; Amborellaceae. The record is from RNAcentral.
GGUUAUUUUGCGUUUCACUUAUUUGUUCAUUUUUUAGUUUUAGAAAUUUGAGAGGCAGAAUUAGAAGAUUUAAGUUUGUGUUUAAAUGUGUUUUCUUAUAAACAUGUAACUAUUGGACUAAAAAGACAUAUACACACACACACAGAAAGAGAAGAUAAUAAUAGUUUAUUUUGGAGUUUUUAUAUUGAUCUUUUUGGGAUGCACUCCCUUGAGACUCCGAGAGAGGUUAUAAUAUCUCAUUAUUUAUAUUUUAUUUUUUAUUUUUU